GAUCUGGCUCAGGACGAACGCUGGCGGCGCGCCUAACACAUGCAAGUCGAACGAGCGAGAGAAAGCUUGCUUUCUCGAGCGAGUGUCGAACGGGUGAGUAACGCGUGAGGAACCUGCCUCAAAGAGGGGGACAACAGUUGGAAACGACUGCUAAUACCGCAUAAGCCCACGGCUCGGCAUCGAGCAGAGGGAAAAGGAGCAAUCCGCUUUGAGAUGGCCUCGCGUCCGAUUAG
This 233-nucleotide ribosomal RNA is filed under the name uncultured bacterium. Its description in RNAcentral is "partial 16S ribosomal RNA". It matches the Rfam family "Bacterial small subunit ribosomal RNA", at positions 15 to 244 of the family's 1533-position model. The record is from RNAcentral.